UGCAGAAUCCCGUGAGUCAUCCAGUCUUUGAAUGCAAGUUGCGCCCGAGGCUUCGAACGAGGGCACGUCUGCCUGGGUGUCGCACACAAUCGAAUCGCCCCAUUUGCCUGCGUGCGGGCGGUGGAGGGGAGCUGGCUGUCCGUGUCCCUUGUGACACCGUCGGCUUAACCGGAUUGGGCUCUCGUUGUCGGGCAUCGGCGAGCGGUGGUUCGGUCGUCCUGGCCGAUCGAUACGCGACACCGUAAGUGCACGGCACGCGGGGAAGGCCCUCCUCGACUUGAUCACUCGGGAGGCCUAGGCUUCGGCCGGAGUUCCUUCCGUCCACGUCACGCGACCCCAGGUCAGGCGAGAGCACCCGCUGAGUUUAAGCAUAUCACUAAGCGGAGGAAAAGAAACUUACAAGGAUUCCCCUAGUAACGGCGAGCGAACCGGGAAGAGUCCAGCAUGAAAAUCGGGCGGCGGUUGCCGUCCGA
Molecule: small RNA, 473 nt
Filed under: Cycas revoluta
Lineage: Eukaryota; Viridiplantae; Streptophyta; Cycadopsida; Cycadales; Cycadaceae
Description: eukaryotic LSU rRNA
Rfam family: Eukaryotic large subunit ribosomal RNA (bases 332-473)
Source: RNAcentral